RNAcentral lists this ribosomal RNA (468 nucleotides) under uncultured bacterium. RNAcentral describes it as "partial 16S ribosomal RNA". It matches the Rfam family "Bacterial small subunit ribosomal RNA", at positions 28 to 507 of the family's 1533-position model. The record is from RNAcentral.
GACGAACGCUGGCGGCGUGCUUAACACAUGCAAGUCGAACGGAAAGGCCCUGCUUUUGUGGGGUGCUCGAGUGGCGAACGGAAGAGUAACACGUGAGUAACGUGACCUUGACUUUGGGAUAACUUCAGGGCACUGGGGCUAAUCCAGGAUAGGAGCUCCUGCGGCUUGGUGGGGGUUGGAAAGUGUCGGCGGUUGGGGAUGGACGCGCGGCGUAUCAGCUUGUUGGUGGGGUAGUGGCUUACCCAGGCUUUGACGGGUGGCCGGCCUGAGUGGGUGACCGGCCACAUCGGGACUGAGACGCGGCCCAGCCUCCUGCGGGAGUCAGCAGUGGGGGAUAUCGCGCUGUGGGCGGAAGCCGGAUGCAGCAACGCCGCGUGCGGGAUGACGGCCUUCGGGCUGUAAACCGCGUUCGCCUGGUACGAAGCGGGAGUGACGGUAAUUGGUAAAGAAGCACCGGCUAACUACGUG